Molecule: long non-coding RNA, 268 nt
Organism: Arabidopsis thaliana (thale cress)
Lineage: Eukaryota; Viridiplantae; Streptophyta; Magnoliopsida; Brassicales; Brassicaceae
Product: other RNA
Exons: 1
Source: RefSeq
ACCUUCUCCCACUACUCUCGGACACCACCUUUGAAGCAGCACAAUUGUUCUUACCCCGGUACGUUUCCAAGCUUCGAUUCACUGCAUAUGGAGAGAGUGGAAUGCUCGUUCCCAUGGAGACACGCCCACAUCGUCACCUAGACUAAUCAAACUCCUUGGAAAAAAAGUUUGCAUCGGUAUACUACAAGAAAACAGCUAAGUUACUUUUUGGCAGGACAAGAAAACAACUAACUUAUUUUCUUGCAGGACAAGAAAACAGCUAGAUGGC